AGAGUUUGAUCCUGGCUCAGAUUGAACGGGAAAAAGAGAAGGUUACACGUGCAAGUCGAACGGCAGCACGCCUAGAAAAAAAAAAAUGGUGGCGAGUGGCGAACGGGUGAGUAAUAUAUCGGAACAUGUCCAAUAAUGGGGGAUAACUAUCCCAUAGGAUAGCUAAUACCGCAUACGCCCUGAGGGGGAAAGCGGGGGAUCGUAAGACCUCGCGUUAAUGGAGUGGCCGAUAUCUGAUUAGCUAGUUGGUGAGGUAAAGGCUCACCAAGGCGACGAUCAGUAGCUGGUCUGAGAGGACGACCAGCCACACUGGAACUGAGACACGGUCCAGACUCCUACGGGAGGCAGCAGUGGGGAAUUUUGGACAAUGGGCGCAAGCCUGAUCCAGCCAUUCCGCGUGAGUGAAGAAGGCCUUCGGGUUGUAAAGCUCUUUCGCAAGGGAAGAAAACUUACUCAAUAACACUGGGUGAGGCUGACGGGUACCUUGAUUAGAAGCACCGGCUAACUACUUGCCAGCAGCCCGCGGUAAAUACGUAGGGGUGCGAGCGUUAUUCGGAAUUUACUGGGGCGUAAAGCGUGCGCAGGCGGUUUUGUAAGUCAGAUGUACGAGAAGCCUCCGGACUCAACUUGGGAACUGCGCUUGAAAACUACAAGGCUAAGACGUGUAGCARAGGGGUGUAGAAAUUCCACGGUGUAGCAAUGCAAUGGCGUUAGAGAAUGUCUGAACGAUUUGCCAAUUGGCGAAAGCCAGCUCCUCUGGAGUUAAACACUUGACGCUCACUUGCAUGAAAAGCGGUGGGGGGAGCCAAACAGGAAUUAGAUAGCCUGGGUAGUCCCACGCCCCCUUAACCGAUAUGUCUCACUAGUUUGUUUGUGAAGAAGAUAAAAAUGUCUGUUUAGUUAAGCGCAGACCUUAACCGCCGUGAAGAUAUGAACCCACCCUGGUGAUGUACAGAGUUCGCAAGCAUUAUAAAUCCUCAUCAAGGAGAUAAUUUACGUACCGGGAGUGCGCUCGCACGUAUAGCGGUGGAUUAUGUGGAUUAAUUCGAUGCAACGCGAAAAACCUUACCUGGCCUUGACAUGCUACUAACGACGCAGAGAUGCAUUAGGUGCCCGAAAGGGAAAGUAGACACAGGUGCUGCAUGGCUGUCGUCAGCUCGUGUCGUGAGAUGUUGGGUUAAGUCCCGCAACGAGCGCAACCCUUGCCAAUAAUUGCCAUCAUUUAGUUGGGCACUUUAUUGGGACUGCCGGUGACAAACCGGAGGAAGGUGGGGAUGACGUCAAGUCCUCAUGGCCCUUAUGGCCAGGGCUUCACACGUAAUACAAUGGUCGGUACAGAGGGUUGCCAACCCGCGAGGGGGAGCCAAUCCCAGAAAGCCGAUCGUAGUCCGGAUUGCAGUCUGCAACUCGACUGCAUGAAGUCGGAAUCGCUAGUAAUCGCGGAUCAGCAUGUCGCGGUGAAUACGUUCCCGGGCCUUGUACACACCGCCCGUCACACCAUGGGAGUGGGUUCCACCAGAUAUUUUUAUUAGUGGUAACCGCAAGGAGGACGAUUACCACGGUGGCCCCUCCUUUUCUAGUGAAGUCGUACCAAGGUAACC
RNAcentral lists this ribosomal RNA (1601 nucleotides) under uncultured bacterium. Its description in RNAcentral is "partial 16S ribosomal RNA". It matches the Rfam family "Bacterial small subunit ribosomal RNA". The record is from RNAcentral.